GGUGCGGUACCCAAGUAGCUAAGGGGACGGUCUGCAAAACCGUUAUUCGUGGGUGCAAUUCCCACCCGCACCUCCA
RNAcentral lists this transfer RNA (76 nucleotides) under subsurface metagenome. Its description in RNAcentral is "tRNA-Cys". It matches the Rfam family "tRNA". Rfam says of the family: Transfer RNA (tRNA) molecules are approximately 80 nucleotides in length. Their secondary structure includes four short double-helical elements and three loops (D, anti-codon, and T loops). The record is from RNAcentral.